Molecule: ribosomal RNA, 487 nt
Filed under: uncultured bacterium
Lineage: Bacteria
Description: partial 16S ribosomal RNA
Rfam family: Bacterial small subunit ribosomal RNA
Source: RNAcentral
ACGAACGCUGGCGGCGUGCUUAACACAUGCAAGUCGAACGCGCCUGUCCUCUGGGUUUCUGGGGGGUGGGUGAGUGGCGAACGGGUGAGUAACACGUGAGUAACCUGCCCCCUUCUUCGGGAUAACGGUCUGAAAGGGCUGCUAAUACCGGGUAUUCACUGGUCUCCGCAUGGGGUCUGGUGGAAAGGUUUUUUUCUGGUGGGGGAUGGGCUCGCGGCCUAUCAGCUUGUUGGUGGGGUGAUGGCCCACCAAGGCUUUGACGGGUAGCCGGCCUGAGAGGGUGACCGGUCACAUUGGGACUGAGAUGCGGCCCAGACUCCUACGGGAGGCAGCAGUGGGGAAUAUUGCACAAUGGGCGCAAGCCUGAUGCAGCGACGCCGCGUGAGGGAUGGAGGCCUUCGGGUUGUGAACCUCUUUCGCCCGUGGUCAAGCCGCGACGUGGGUCGUGGUGAGGGUAGUGGGUAAAGAAGCGCCGGCUAACUACGUG